AUAUCUCUUCGGCGGUACAUAUAUUGAAAUUGUAACGAUACAGAAUGGAUCAGUAAGGUCCACGUGCAAGGAUGGCAUAGAAAAUCGUGAAGCGUUCUCCAUUCUU
RNAcentral lists this small nuclear RNA (106 nucleotides) under Hymenolepis diminuta. Lineage: Eukaryota; Metazoa; Platyhelminthes; Cestoda; Cyclophyllidea; Hymenolepididae. The record is from RNAcentral.